Molecule: long non-coding RNA, 2454 nt
Organism: Felis catus (domestic cat)
Lineage: Eukaryota; Metazoa; Chordata; Mammalia; Carnivora; Felidae
Exons: 2
Source: RefSeq, a predicted model, not a curated record
CUGAAGUCGGACGCCCAACCGACUGCGCCACCCAGGCGCCCCAAGAGCGUGCAAUUCCAACAAGUUCCCAGGAGGUACUGAUGUCUCGGGGGCCUCCCACCUCCCACCUCCCAGAGUUCUGGAGGCUACUUCAAAAGAUGCCAAGGUAGCAGGAUGGCCUCCUCUCCAUACCUCUGCUCACCUGCUUCUCCCACCAGGGAAUGCCUCUCCCAGCCCCUUUGUGUCUCCCCUUCCUAUCUGCCCUUCAAGCCCAAGGGCCGUGCGCCUUCUCCAGGAAGCCUGCCGAGACCACCCCGCCCUCUGUGAUCUUUCCUGUCUGAUCCUCUCCCCCGCCCUCAGGUUAGUCUUCCCUUCAAAAAGACAGAAGCACCCAAGGGACGCAGAAACACACGCCCACACAAAAGCUGGCCCACCCGUGUCCCUCGCAGCACCGUUCGCAACAACUAGAAAGCGGAAACGACCCACACGACCGUCCGUGGAUGAAGGGAGGAACAAAAUAUGGCAGGCGCAUCACAAUGGGAUAUUACGCAGCCAGGAAACGGAAGGGCGUGCCGGUACACGUUACGGCGCGGAGGGACCUCAAAACGCUGUGCCGGGCGAGGGCAAGCGCGUAGCGUAUCGUUUGCACCUGCGGAAUGCCCAGGAUCGGCAAAUCCACAGCGACAGGAAGCAGAUUAGCGGCUGCCGGGGGCCCUGGGAGGGCGACCGAAAAGUACAGGGUUUCUUUCGGGGGGCGAAGGACAUGUCCUAAAAAAUCGAUUGUGGCAACAGCUGCGCAACCCUGUGAACGUACCAAAAAAACUCUUGACUCGCACGCUUUCUUUUAUUCAUGUUUCUUUAUUUUUGAGAGAGAGAGACAGAACGUGAGUGGGGAAGGGCAGAGAGAGAGGGAGACACAGACUCCGAAGCAGGCUCCAGGCUCCGUGCUGUCAGCACAGAGCCCCACGCGGGGCUCGAACCCACGGACCGUGAGAUCGUGACCUGAGCCCAAGUCGGACGCUGAACCCACUGAGCCGCCCAGGCGCCCCGAGGUGUAUACUUUAAACAGGGGAAGUGUGUGGUAUGUGAAUUAGAUCGCAAUAAGGCUGUUACCGAAAAGAAAAAAAAAAAGGAGGACACGAGUGGCAGCGGCUGUGCCCCUGGGGCCCCGAGGAAAGGCCUGCUGUGGAGUCGCGACUCCCACGGCCUCCUUCUCUUGUGCAAAUGGCAGCUCAGAGGAGGAGCUUUGGACUGGAGUCAGCAGCUUGCUGUGUGUGCUGGGGCGAACCUACGCCCUCUCUGAGCCUCCAUCUCUCCCCUGGCUCCCCCGGGAGCGCUGAGAUGUAAUGCAGGAGGCGGCCGCGGUGCACGGAGGAGCCAGGAAGCCCCACGGCAGGAUUGUGUGUGAGGUCCGUAGCCCGGACCCCGGCCGGACAGCGGCGGUGGUAGGACGUCCCCACGGCUUCCGGCUCUGAGGGAGGAGGCAACCCCCUCGUGCUCUGUCUUCUAACGUCCCGGAGCCCGAGGGUUUUGAAACUGCGGAGAAUGACAGCAAAUUACCAGCUAAAAGCCCUGGGUUGUUGGAGGUGGGAAAGACAAGCCCUGGGAGCAGCUCAAGCCCACGGACACUCCUCAAGCGUGGAACACAUACUCUUUCCCCACCCCUGCCCGCGCUCCAAGGGGAUCUCAUGCCAAUUAGAAAAAGACACCCCUUCCUCCAGGAAGAAGCAGCUUCAUGCCAGGGGCAGGGGUUCAGCCCCCACCGUUCCCUUAGCCAAGAGCACUUGAGCACUGAACAACAUACACAACUAUACCGUGGUCUCAUGGCCGUGUACCUGUAAACCACCCCCCACCCCCCACCCACAGCCGGAUGCCUGGUCUCAGCAAGUGGCUGUGUCUUUCCUCCAUGGUGGUUUGUGCUGAGUCAAGUGGCCUGGCAGGAAACUUGCUUCCUGGAAUCUCCUCUCCUCUAGGAGUCUGAGUUAGAAUUCGCCGGCGAAGAAAUCUGUGCUUGGAGGGCCACCAUGGCUCGCGAUGGGAGGGACGGACACAGAAGUGCCAGCGGGGGCCAGCUUGUCCCCAUUCCUUCAUCUACAUGUCCUCCUCCUGACCCGCGGCCAGUGCUCCCUCCAGACUGCUGGCCCUGCUGACUCACAGUGACCCAGUAUUUCCACCGGAUGCUCGGCUGUGAUCUCACCGAGUGGAGGCUGCAAAGACAAGGCGGCCUUCCCUAGACUUCUGCCGGUGUCUACACUGGCCCCGGCCUCCUGCGCCAGCUGCUGGACCCGCCUGACUUCCAGCUUGUCCACGAGCUCCGCUGGUGCCUCUGCUACAGAGGGCUGGCUGGUGACGGUCCCCGGGUCCCCGUAAAACUUCCCGCUUUGGACCUUUACUUCCCAGACCCUCCCCCGGGGCAGUAAGGCUAAUUGCUGUGCUAUAAAACUCACAGUGGCUCUGCUGCUGAUGGAGCCCGAA